AAUGGGGGCAACCCUGAUCUAGCCAUGCCGCGUGAGUGAAGAAGGCCUUAGGGUUGUAAAGCUCUUUCACCUGUGAGGAUGAUGACAGUAGCAGGAUAAGAAGGACCGGCUAACUCCGUGCCAGCAGCCGCGGUAAGACGGAGGGUCCUAGCGUUGUUCGGAAUAACUGGGCGUAAAGGGUACGUAGGCGGUUUUGUAAGUUAGAUGUGAAAUCCCAGGGCUCAACCCUGGAACUGCAUUUAAAACUGCAAGACUUGAGAUCGGAAGAGGAAAGCGGAAUUUCUAGUGUAGAGGUGAAAUUCGUAGAUAUUAGAAGGAACAUCAGAGGCGAAGGCGGCUUUCUGGUCCGAUACUGACGCUGAGGUACGAAAGCGUGGGGAGCAAACAGGAUU
This 392-nucleotide ribosomal RNA is filed under the name uncultured Gammaproteobacteria bacterium. RNAcentral's name for it is "bacterial SSU rRNA". It matches the Rfam family "Bacterial small subunit ribosomal RNA", at positions 370 to 779 of the family's 1533-position model. Lineage: Bacteria; Pseudomonadati; Pseudomonadota; Gammaproteobacteria. The record is from RNAcentral.